Molecule: long non-coding RNA, 787 nt
Filed under: Nicotiana tabacum (common tobacco)
Lineage: Eukaryota; Viridiplantae; Streptophyta; Magnoliopsida; Solanales; Solanaceae
Description: long non-coding RNA (NTAB_LNC001021)
Source: RNAcentral
AUUCAUCAAUGGGAUUUGUGAUGAACCUGCCUUGGAUUCAAAGGAUCAUGCACAAUGGAGUAGGUGCAAUGACAUGGUAACCUCAUGGCUUUUAAAUUCUCUAACUAAAGAGAUAGGAGACAGUGUAAUCUAUUCCAAAUCUGCAAAAGAACUUUGGAGUAGUCUUGAGCAUAGGUUUGGACAAUCCAAUGGAGCCAAACUCUAUCACCUACAAAAGGAAGUUGCUAAGACAGUUCAGGGAAAUAGCAAUAUUGCAGCAUACUUCACAACUCUGAAAAAAUUAUGGGAUGAGUUAGAUUCCCUGAACUCACAUUUAAGGUGCACUUGUACCUGUGUGUGUGAAGGGAAGAAGAAAGUAGCCAAGUUCCUGGAGGAUCAGAGAGUCAUCCAAUUUCUAAUGGGACUGAAUGAUGUGUAUGCACCUGCAAGAGGCAAUAUUCUCAUGAUAAGCCCUCUUCCAAGUAUGGAUCAUGCCUAUUCCAUCCUCCUGCAAGAUGAAAGUCAGAGGGAAAUGUUUGUUAGCCCACAAUAUCCAACAGAUGGUGCAUCUUUUAUGGUAGGAGCUCAAGGGAAGUUUAAUCAAAGAAACAAUAUUCAGAAAUCAUGGGGAACUCCUCAGAAACAGGGGAACUUUCAGAACAUGCAACAAAAGUUCAAAAGGAAGGCGAAAUACAAUCCUAAUGUGAGUUGUGGUCAUUGUAUGAGAACAGGGCAUGUAAGGGAAGAUUGCUACAGACUAAUAGGAUUCCCAGAUGAUUUUCAAUUCACAAAAUCAACAAAUCAGCCU